Molecule: long non-coding RNA, 10363 nt
Organism: Rattus norvegicus (Norway rat)
Lineage: Eukaryota; Metazoa; Chordata; Mammalia; Rodentia; Muridae
Gene: Cep83os
Product: centrosomal protein 83, opposite strand
Exons: 3
Source: RefSeq, marked validated
GUGCUACGUCAUCGGCACUGCGCACCGCCCCAGGGCCCGAGCCGUUGGUGAGGAAAGCGGGCGACGGUUGCGCGGGCAGCCGCUGCUACUGUGGGAAAAGUGCGGACGCCACUCUGGGACGGCCCUGUGGGCCACACCAAAGCCCGCGAGCCCGGGAAACGGCAGGUCUCGCCUCACGCCCGACUCCCCGUGGGUUGAGGGACUCCCUGCCCUUGUCCCGCCCAGGUUACACUUCCUUCUCUGAGAGCUUGGAUGGUGCUCUUAGCCGCCACCUCUAUCACUGCCCGCCUGUCAUCAUGCCUGCUGGGCGGGUUUUCUGGCUUUGGCACCCAGUCAGCCUGCAAGUACGGAGUCGCCUCAGCUUGCCAACAGGGAAGUCAGAGGACUCUGCCUACUGUUGGUUACUUCACAGCACCUCCACUUUCAAAGAACAUCUUCCUGAGAAUAAACAUGAAGAGUACUGUGACUGUAAAACAUCAUAUUGACAGAGAAUUCAAAGGAAUACUGGAUACAGAAUAAGAAAAUUUGGGAUGUUAAAACUCAGAAGUUGAGCUUCAGCUCGGAAAACAAGAUGAGGGAUCUUUCCAGCCUGCACCAAUGUUCACAUUUCUGAUUGAAUUACAAGGUUUUUCUUGUUUCAAACUCAGAAGCCCUUUGGAAACUUUGGGGGGAAAUCUCACCACAUCCUUUAAGUCUCGCUUAUGGUUAGCGGGGGAGAUACACUAGCACUCAGGGAAGUACCUCAGCCUCCAGUAUGUGUAGCCUUGCCAUAAAUCUACCUAAGGUCUCCUGCCCCGGCCUUGCUGUCUAUCAGUGUGGUGUGUGUUCACAGUUUUACUUUCCCAGCUAGCCAUCUUUUCCUGGAUGGUCUUAAACUACUUGCUGAGUUUGGUGGUUUUUUGUUUUGUCUGAUUGGAUUUUGUUUGUUUUGUUUAUUUUGCAGAGCGUUUUCAGACUUUUCUGUUAGGUGAAUUUUACAUUACCAUUAAGAAAUGGUUUCCAAAUUGUACAUUGCCCAGUAACUGCCUCUCACUAUUGUAGUUUUGAUGGUACUUUUGGUAUUAUUUUUAUUUUGUGUCUUGAUCUUUGGACAUGAAGCACACCAUUAUUAGUUUCUGCUGGAGAUAUUUAUGUGUGUGGUGUGUACACUUGAUCACAUGUAUGUCUGCACAGCUGUGCACAUGGGUGUAGAGGACAGAGGUUGACUUGGGGUGUUUUCCUCCAUCACUUUUUGCCCUUAGUUUUUGACCCAGGGUUUCUCACUGAACCUGUAAUUCAUCAGCUCAGACAGGCUGGCUGCCAGUGAGUUUCCCAGACUGCCUGUCUCUGCUGUCUCAGGCCUGAGGUUAUCUGCCAUAUUGGAUAAGCACUUUACUAGCUGAGUCGUCUACUCCACCCUGUGGAAACAGUGUUGCUAGAGGAUUCUUAUUUGGGUCUUUCUUCUUCUUCUUCAUCUACUUUAUCUUCUUCCUAAGUAUCCUUUCCUGGCAUUUGUUACAUCACAAGCUUUUGUAUCUGUAUUUCUUGACUCCUUCAUGGUUAUUUCAGACCAACUUUCCCUUUUUGUCAUCCUAGCAGGGACUCUUAAACCAUCGUGUGUGGGAAGCUGCUCCUCCAUGACCUCUAUGGGCCUCUCCUCUUGAGAAAGUACUUUAUUAAGGCAAACUACAGCUCCUGUCACUCAACUGGUUUCAGGGCUGCAAGUACUACUUAUCAUUCUCCUCCACAGUCAAUGGCAAGUUCUAAUUCCCUUCGGUUGUUUCUUCCAUAAGCCUAAGGGCUUAGCUUGUAUGACCCAAAUCCUCAUUCCUGAUUUUUAAAAAAAUGUAAUUGGUAAUUAUUUACACCUCACUGGAAUUGCUGCACCUGUCCUUCCCCAGUUACAAUUUGGAGUCAAAACGUUCCCAAAUCAAUCACCUAUAUGUGUCCCUGCCUGGCAUCAUUUUGGUUUCCUAUUGCUCUAGCUCAGUUACCACUGCGAAGAUGGGAAAUCCUUGCCUGCUCACACCUGGAUCCAGAGUGCAAAAUGUCCACAUAGUAGCUCUAACUUAGAGUCUAAUGGGACUCUCAUUGUGUCUCCUGGCAGAAAUGCAUGCCAUUCGGAAGCCAGGACUUUUAUACCUUCAAUGUGGGGACAGGAAAGUGUCCCCUGACAAGUCAGUAGGACUGGGGUUGAGUGGGGUUGUUUCUGCUUUCUCUGUUUUGUUCUUGGAGCCAUGUGUUUGUUCUUAGCAGGACAGUAAUUGAAGUCAGUGUGCGUACUGCUUCCUAAAGGAUGGCACUUAACCCUCAUGAACUCCCGCUUCUGAACUGGCACUUCCGUUAUCCCAUAGUACACUGAGAGCAGAUGCUAGGGUUAGACAGCCAGGUCAGAAACACCGAGGAAGGUAAAUAAGAAGGCUUGCACCUGGCUGUGAAAUAGCCAGCCUGACCAGGUAAGAGAAGAGACAGAACACUGGGAAAACCAGUGAUGUUUCAUCUGUGCCUGAGCCCCACCCUCCCCUGUAGGAACAUGUACAGGUAUUGUUGCCCUUUUCCCUCCCCUGUAGGAACAUGUACAGGUAUUGUUGCCCUUUUCCCUCCCCUGUAGGAACAUGUACAGGUAUUGUUGCCCUUUUCCCUCCCCUGUAGGAACAUGUACAGGUAUUGUUGCCUUUUUCCCUCCCCUGUAGGAACAUGUACAGGUAUUGUUGCCUUUUUCCCUCCCCUGUAGGAACAUGUACAGGUAUUGUUGCCCUUUUCCCUCCCCUGUAGGAACAUGUACAGGUAUUGUUGCCCUUUUCCCUCCCCGUAGGAACAUGUACAGGUAUUGUUGCCCUUUUCCCUCCCCUGUAGGAACAUGUACAGGUAUUGUUGCCCUUUUCCCUCCCCUGUAGGAACAUGUACAGGUAUUGUUGCCCUUUUCCCUUAGUGAACAUCUAAAAUUUACAGAUAGUUAAACCUUCAUGGAUAAGCAUGCAUCUAAUUGUAACAGACUGAAUUGUGGGUAAUGGCUUCUGAGAAAGCUUCCGCUUUUGUAGGAGGGCAACCUCUCAAUACUGCUCCAGGAAUAGACAAAGGAGACCUGGUGGACAACAUCCAGACAUCCCUGGGCCAUUGCCCCUUGGCUCACAGUACCCUCCCAUCUUGCCUUUGCCUUCCCAUCUGCUACAGCACAUCCCAACAACUUGUUUCCCUUACCUGUCCCCUAAUGUGAAUCUCUUUGCUUGAGAUUGGAGGACAUGUGGAAGGAGGCAUCUCUAACACCGUCAGUAGGUUGCCAGGUGAUCUGUCAGGCUAAAUGACCCUGUUGAUUCCCUGGUCAUGAGUUCACAUAUCUUUUUACUCUGAAGUAGGUCCUGUUUACAUGCUGUCUUGAAUUGGACCCCAUACCUGUGGAUCAGGCAUUCUUUAAGGUCCUAAGUAAUGAUAAUAUAUGCUAAAGCCCUGAAAGGCAGAACAACAAAUCCAUACCCAGAAUAAGAUUUAUUCCUGUUAUGAUAGACCACUAGCCACUCCGAAAUGGAAAGAGUCCAUGUUAUUGACCAGGUAUUGAUUUGUCUUGAGUAAUACUGUGGUAUUGGGAACACAGUGUAGGUUUCUGUCCCUAGCAGUUUCUUUAGAAACAGAUGUAGGUAUGGAUUGGCUUUUGUAGCUGGGAAUUUAUGUUGUGACUCAUGUAUAGCCUCCUGUGCAAACAUGACUACUCAUGUGUUGUCAUAGUGACAGCUCUAGAGUAGGCCAUGACAAAUGCUUUGCUUAACACCAACUGACAGACUCCGUUGUUGGUUUGAAUUGUUCUGUUUCUCUUUCAUGAUUGAUGUUCUAGUCAGAAUGAACAUGUCAUUAGCCACUAAGCAAGACAGGCUCCUUUAGGGACAGAAUCCUGUGUUGAUGCACCUUCAGGGUAUCCUUUCUUUAUUUGCAGCUAAGGCUUUAUGGCAUGAGCAGCAGAACAUUCCCUGAGGCGUGUGUCUCCUAUGUCCACUUUUAAAACUAUGACCUUACCCUGAGUUUGCUCAGGGAUGUGCUCCUUAACUACACCUGCUUAUUGCUCAGCCUUGGGCCACCCCUUACGUGAGUACGAAUAGGAUCUCUGAGUAAAAUUCCCACACUUUCUUUAUUGGAAGAGCUUUGGAAAGGACACUUGUGUUCUGUCUUAUCUAUUGCAAGUAAUAUUUUUCUACUCUUUAUAUAUUGACUGUGAUUAUUUUGGCUUGCACUCAAUGACAUGGGAAUCUAUUAUAUUUGAUAACAAUAUAAUAAAAAAGAUUCUCACCCCUUGUGACCACACACCUUCAUUUCUAUACCUUUCUUCCCCACUCCACUGUCUCUGACCUUCCAGCCUUCUCUGCUGCCAUCCUGUCCCUCUGCUAGGCUACUGCCAGUCCACAGGAAUCUUCACAAUAGAUUACUCUCAUUCCACACAGCGUGAAUGAAAAGUUGUGGGGUGAAAGUUUUACUCAUUAGGAAGAAGGGCCACAUAAAUGUAGCUUCCUCUUGUAUACCAAGCCAACUUCUCUAUAAAUAAACAAGCCAACAUCCUCUCUUAGCCAGGGCACUUUGAGGAAGAUGUGCUGAUUCAAGCUCAGUACAUGGUAAUAGGGAACUGGGAUACAAGUUCAUGCAAUUGAUUCAUUCCUGCUAAUACAAUACAUUAUUUAUAUACCACUGUGAACUGCUACUGGGCCCAUCUACCUUAAGAUUUAGCUCAUAAUGAAUUUUUCAAAUCCAUAGAUAGUAACUUGGUACCCCAUGGUCAAAUUUUUUGUCUUUGUCUGGUACUAUACCUAGUAUGAUUUCUUGAAAGGAGUAAAAUCCUCUGUUAAAGGUAUCACUUUUCUCUGUUACCUGAGACAUCUAUAUUGUGACCUCCAUGUAUAUGAAAGUCCACACUGCUAUAAAGCCAUUUAUUUGUUGUUCCUGGGUAUGCUCUAAAUAAAGAGCAAUAUUCGUUUGUGGCUUUGUUGCUUCCAGAUCCCACUGUUAAGUAUGAAACACAAUAUACUGUGUUUUAUUCUGGAGGGAAUGUCUCUACCUACCACUGACUUCUGGACCUCUACAAGCUUUUCAUGUUGAAUUGUAUGAUUUUUCUUAGUGUUUAUCUUAUACCUUCUGAAUACAUGUGUCUUACCAAGGGUUUCUGCUCUAUAAGCAACUUCUUGUCACCCUUUUCAAUCAUAACAUUAUUGGUCCACUGUAUUAGUGUGAAGUCCAGACCUCUUCUGACUAUACUGUGUAGAGGGACAAUUAAUAGUCCUUAGGGGAAAAAAGCUAGAAAUAUUGUCUUUACAAGACUGUGAACUGCAUGUCCUUGUUUCUGAUUUAAAUAUGAAAGAAAACUUUUACCCAAUCAUUGUCCAUAAGUCAUGUGCCCGAAGCCUUAUGCUGCCCUAUCAGUGGCAGAAUACCCAGCAUAGUUUUGUGUGGGACCAGCACUUGGUUAAGCUACCUGUCACAGUCUGCAUGCAGUCUGGAUGGUCCCCUUUCCUUGUGAUAGUCUUUAGUUUCUCGCCUAACUUGGGUAGAAGACAAUUUUGAAGCUCUUAGUUUAACUUUCUCACUCUAUUAGCUCUAUAUAAUAGUCCAAGUACUAAUAUUUCAAUAGCCAAUGAUAUCUACUAUAAUGAAAGACUCAGGGACCAGAGAAGUAGAUUUUUUUCAGCCAGACAUGAACUAUGCAUUACCUACUCUCAUAAACUAUAACUGUAACAGUAAACUGAUCUUUCAAGUAUCCAGUUAUCAAAUAUAAUCAGACCUAUGGGCCUGAAAUCCUUGGCUGACUGGGUAAUCCCCUUCUCACAGUAUAAGUAUCCUGUAGAGGUACCCAAGGUCUUUUGUAGAAAGACAUUAGCAGAAUGACUGGAGGAAAAUCGUUACAAUGUACAUGUGUCACAUAUGGGCUUUUGAGAAAGCCUAUACAGGAUGAACAUGUCAUCCAACACUUGAAACUAACAACAUUAACAUUGAGAAACUAAAGUGGAAACUUAGUUUCUUUUGAAAGUCAGUUGUAUCUGAUGGUGUUUUGCUGGGGCAAACACUGGAAAGAAUGUUGUCCUGAAACAGACACAGGUGAAAGGCUGCACCAAAAAACUAAUGGUAGUGUGCUAUGGCUUCUUGCUGCUUCUGAGGACUCGGGCCACUUUGCAGAGUGAAAUGAGUUGAUACAGACUCACUUGGAGUUUUACUAAGUCAGACUCACAUGCUGAGGCAAGACACAUGGUGAGGCAACUCCUAUGGAGGACACAUGAUGUUUGGAGGAAAUAUAAAAUAGGACUCAACAGAUGAUGACCAGGCUUGAUUUGCUUGUAGUACAAUGCCUGUUGGUCUCGAAUCUUUGCUGAUCUUCGCUUCCCUGAGAGAGGCACAGCCAAGAACUUCUCCUGGUUGCUGGUCCAAAGCCUUCCUGCUGACUCAUGCCAAUUCUCCUGAGACCUGGCUGUCUCUGCUAGGUUGUGAACCACUGCUGAUUUGUGUUUGAUAUCUCAACUCUACCAAACUAGACUGCUGGUAUAUUUGUGAAGUGUUCUCCAGUGGAUUGAGCUACUGCUGCUGCUGCUGCUGCUGCUGCUGCUGACCUAUGAGCUGAACUGCUGAUUUCCUGACAACACAUACGGGAUUUGCUCCAAAGAACCAUUUCUAAACAGGUUCACUUCCUCCGUAUCCUUUCUUUUCCACUACCUGUGAUGGGCGGUGGUCUAUAAGGGAGGUUAAAACACUUAAGAACCAACAUUAAUAAUAGGUUUUGAGGGCUGGAGGGAUGGCUCAGUGGUUAAGAGCACUGACUGCUCUUCCAGAGGUCCUGAGUUCAAUUCCCAACAACCACAUGGUGGCUUACAACCAUCCGGUUGUGUCUGAAGAGGGCAGCAGUGUAUUCACAUAAAAAUAAAUAAAAUCUUUAAAAAAAAAUAGGUUUUGGAAAAAAAAGUUAUAAGAAACAAAGUCACACACACACACAAAGUGGCUUCUGCUAUGAUAAAAUAAGAAGGCCAUAGGACUCUCUGUGAAAUAAUCUUGCUUCUUCCCCAAUUGAACCCAUAGAUCAAGGGUCUUAACAGUCACAAUCAGUACAAAGGGGAGCAUGACAAAGUGACACACAGGGUCACAACUUAGCAAAUCCAGAAUAUGGGAAAGUAAUAAACGACCCAGUUUCUCAAGAACAUCAAUAGCAGGAAAUGUGUUUUUAAAGUGAUUAUUUAAAAAGAUGAAAUAUAUCAAGUCAAAUCUGAUAGCUUACAUGUGACCCCAGCAUUCAGGAGGCUGAGGCAGGAUCACCACAGUAUAAGGCCAGCCUGGCUUCAAAGUCUGUUCCUAAUGCAAUAAGCAGACUCUAAACUGAAUCAAAGCAACUAUUUUAAAAUUACAAAUAAUAGCAUGUAUGAGACGAUGGUUUCAAUCUGUAACAUUAAAAUACCUAAGGAAUUAAGCUAGAUAUCUGAUACUAAGGAAUGAUAAACUAUUCUCACAGGACUUUGUAAUUAGUAUAUAUAUAUAUAUAUAUACUAAUAUAUAUAUAUAUAUAUAAUAUAUAUAUAUAAUCUAGAUGCCAAUUGAGAUUUGCUUUAAAAUAAUCUGGGAUGGAGAUGUUGAUAUCAGUGGGUCUCAGAUGUGCAAAUCAGAAGAUUAAAACAAAUUCCUGGGCCUUCCCCCAGAGGUUCUGAUUCAGGAUCUGAGAUGAGGCUAAUGAAGUCACAUCUCUAGUAGUCUUUCAAGGUGGUGCUGAUGUUGGUGUCUCUAACACCCUGGAAUUUCCAACACAAUUCACAGUUUCAAUCGAUGGCCUCUGAAGGCCUCCAUUCAGGAACUCUCUUGCUACACACAGUUCACUACAAGGUACCUCGGAGACUGUGACUAAACUUAAGAGUUUUAAAGUGAAGGGUGAUUCUGCUCUGAAAACACAAAACCACUGCUGGAAGGCAGAAGCACUUUUCCAGUCUUAUGAGUCAAUAACCCAGAGUGGUAUUAGACAAUGGUUCUCAACUUGUCAAAUAUUGCAACCCUUUAAUAUAGUUCAUGUUGUGAUGACCCCCCAACCAUAAAGUCAUUUUCAUUGCUUCUUCAAAACUAUAGCUUUGCUACUGUUAUGAGUCAUAAUGUAAAUAUCUGAGUUGCCAGAUAAUCUUAGGUGACCCCUGUGAAAGGAUCAUUUGACCCCUAAAGGGGUCCUGACCCACAGAUUGAAAACUGCUGACCUAGAAAUGAAGAAGGUGUCAUUGUCCUCACUCUGCACUUUUUGAUUCAAGAAACCUGGAACGGAACACAAUAGUUUACAUUCUUAAGAUGCUGAUGCUCUUUAAAAUCAAAAAUCACUUCUGGGCACAGCAAGUAUAAUAGUUGAUUCAAGGAGAAGCAUCUGUAUAAUUGAGUUGUUGAACUAAUCACUUACAGAAAGAGUGCUGACAAACACUGGUUAUUUGGUCUUAGGUAUUUGGUAAUUAUUUCUGGAAAAAUAACCACUGCAAAGAAAAUAACUGAUAUUUACUCCCAAUGACAAAAUUUGAGGUUUUAGAUGGAAGCUAGAGUCUUUGGGAAACGUGUGUCAACUCUCAUGAGCAUAACUACAUAUCAAUUUCUAAGGAUUCUUUUGUAGUAAAAUAAUGAUACGAAUGUAGCUAUUAGCUUAUUUUGUGGUGCUGUAAUGGAACUCAGAGACUUAUGUGAUACAAUAUGUGAGCCCAGCAUUCCUACUCAAAGCUUUGUACCUAGCCCACUGGUACGUACUUUUCUGAUGUAAUGAUAUAUGUCAGCAUGUCAGCUUUUGGAGGAUCUACAAAUAUAUGUUACAAAAUCAUGCAGCGAUGACAGCUAGUCAAAGGGCAAGCUACAUAAACUGAUGUUAAUGUAACAGUAUGGUACAGUUUCAGAUUCCACACUAUGACAAAGCUUUCUAAAAACUAUCACUCACAAGUGUAAUAGUACAAAGACUACAUCUGUCCACUCACAGGAAGAUCUUGUUGCUAAAAUUCUUUCCCACCUGGAGACAUAAGCAGCAUCUAUCCCUUAUGAGGUCAGAAUGACAAAUUAAGCAUGAUUCUAUUGAAGUUCACUCUGGGGAACCAAUAACUUUAUUGGGCUUCCUUACAGAGUAUAGAUGAGGGAUUAUUAAUGGGUUCAUGUGUCCCUCUCUCCACUACAGGCCAUACCUGGAAAAUCUUUACCCAGUAGAGAUAAGGGCUUCCCUGUGGCCACAUAGAGGGAGUCUCCUCCUUUUGGAGGCCCCACCCACCUGCCUAUCUCAAGACCACGUGCAUUUAAAGCAGAGUUGCAUGUAACAGGUUGUAGAGAGUAACUGGAUACUCACGUGAGAGUCCCCCCUCCUCCUGCCCCCCAUGAUGGUGUAAAUAGUCAACAAGACCAGCCAGGGUGAUCCUUUUGCAAGGGGUCACAGCUGAACUCCUCAAGCUGAUGGUUGCUUGGUUCAUAGGACAGGUGUUAAAAUAUUCAUCCAUUUCCAGUUACAUCCACAUCAGGGACCAGCUUUACUCUGUGUACUAUUUUGUUAUGUACGCAUAUCAAAAUAGACUGAGCACAGAAUCAGAUGCAAGAAUUCAAUUGCUUUCUAUUAAAACAGACAUCAGUAUACAGUUCCUCUGUAGACCUUCACUGUCAGCCUGCCUCCUUUUUAGAGUUGUAACAGCAGUGUAAUGUUUCCUGUGUGACUUUCUAUCCCUACUUUGGAUACAGGCUAAGAUUUUAAGUAUGCUUGUCCUGACACACUAGAUAGUCUUUCUCUGAGGAUCACCUACCGUGCUUGCUGACUUCCACUGCUGAACAUGCUUUCUUGGACCCUGACUCAAAAACCAUGCUUCUCUUCCUCUUCUCCUUCAUCCUCAUCCUAGCAACUGCCAAGGUCUACAGUUUGCCUACCCUGUUGCUCUUAAACACUAAUAAAAUGGUCCUUCUAUUUAAAAGAAUUGGAGGUUCUAAAUACUUCUGCUUAUAUCAAUAGAUUGGUACUCUCUACCUCAGUCAUAGAUUUAUGAGUUCAAAUGGCAGGCAGUGCACGGUACUUCAUGUAUUCAAGCAUAGCAGUAAAAAGCACCUGUGUAUUUAGCAUGUUGGAAUCCUCUUCGGGCUGGCUGCUUAACACACACGUGCUAUCAAAGCAGUUAUUAGGGAAAUAAUUUGUUCAGAAUUAUGCCUGUAAAAGGGGAGCUCCAUCUGUGUUGGAUAACUAGAUAAUUUUUCCAAAUGAAUUAUUGAAACACUGAGCAGCUGAAAACAGAGUUGAAAGAAAAAUUGAAUGUCAGUCAUAUCUUUUCUGGCAGAUAGUUUUUUAUAAGGUAACAUGUAGGAAAAGCACUAUUAUUUAAGCUGAAUUAAUAAUUGUGUUAACUCUUUAUUGUUAAGGUUUGGUUUCUAAUAAAAACAUUAAGAUACCACA